GGAACGUGUCCUCAUGCUGAGUGGAUUGUCUUGUGUUAGCCUCAGUUGUGGAUGAAAUCUUGGAGAGGUGAGGUCCUUGGCCAAGGUCCCUCUGCAGGGCGGAGCUGACUUCCAAGCCCACUUCCCACCCUUCUUUUUCUGCUUUGAUCUCAGCCAGGUGGAAUGCGAUGACGCCAUUAGCCAGUUGUGUGAUGGCUUUUUUUUGGUGGGGUGGGGGGGAGUCUUCCUUCUUCUAAGGCUGGCACUGAACUGUAAGGAGAUCCCUUUAGGAGUACCCCCAAAAGGACCCGUUCUCUGGUGUGACAAAUAGAAUUUUAACUCACGGGGUCUUCUUGCAGGCUACGGGGCGUGGAGUGCUGGACCUGCCAACACCCAGGGUGCAUAUGGAACUGGUGUGGCCAGCUGGCAAGGUUAUGAAAACUACAAUUACUACGGCGCCCAGAACACCAGUGUCACCACAAGCGCAACCUACAGCUACGGCCCAGCCUCGUGGGAGGCCGCCAAGGCCAAUGAUGGCGGCCUGGCGGCCGGGGCCCCUGCCAUGCACAUGGCCUCUUACGGCCCAGAGCCAUGCACCGACAAUUCCGACUCCCUCAUUGCCAAGAUAAACCAGCGUUUGGACAUGAUGUCCAAGGAAGGAGGCAG
This 645-nucleotide long non-coding RNA is filed under the name Pan troglodytes (chimpanzee). RNAcentral describes it as "long non-coding RNA NONPTRT008399". The record is from RNAcentral. Lineage: Eukaryota; Metazoa; Chordata; Mammalia; Primates; Hominidae.